AUUGAACGCUGGCGGCAUGCCUUACACAUGCAAGUCGAACGGCAGCACGGACUUCGGUCUGGUUGCGAGUGGCGAACGGGUGAGUAAUGUAUCGGAACGUACCUUUCAGUGGGGGAUAACGUAUCGAAAGUUACGCUAAUACCGCAUAUUCUGUGAGCAUGAAAGCAGGGGAUCGAAAGACCUUGCGCUCAUUGAGCGGCCGAUAUCAGAUUAGCUAGUUGGUGGGGUAAAGGCCUACCAAGGCGACGAUCUGUAGCGGGUCUGAGAGGAUGAUCCGCCACACUGGAACUGAGACACGGUCCAGACUCCUACGGGAGGCAGCAGUGGGGAAUUUUGGACAAUGGGGGCAACCCUGAUCCAGCCAUGCCGCGUGAGUGAAGAAGGCCUUCGGGUUGUAAAGCUCUUUCGGCCGGGAAGAAAUCGCAUAGGCUAAUACCCUGUGUGGAUGACGGUACCGGAAUAAGAAGCACCGGCUAACUACGUG
RNAcentral lists this ribosomal RNA (484 nucleotides) under uncultured bacterium. RNAcentral's name for it is "partial 16S ribosomal RNA". It matches the Rfam family "Bacterial small subunit ribosomal RNA", at positions 30 to 507 of the family's 1533-position model. The record is from RNAcentral.